AUAGCGUAUAUUUAAGUUGUUGCAGUUAAAAAGCUCGUAGUUGGAUCUUGGGUCGGGGGGAGCGGUCCGCCCCUCGUGGGUGUGCACUGGUCCACCCGACCUUUCUGCCGGGGACGCGCUCCUGGCCUUCGUUGGUCGGGACGCGGAGUCGGCGAUGUUACUUUGAAAAAAUUAGAGUGCUCAAAGCAAGCCUAUGCUCUGAAUACAUUAGCAUGGAAUAACGUGAUAGGACUCUGGUCCUGUUGUGUUGGUCUUCGGGACCGGAGUAAUGAUUAAUAGGGACAGUUGGGGGCAUUCGUAUUUCAUUGUCAGAGGUGAAAUUCUUGGAUUUAUGAAAGACGAACUUCUG
This 349-nucleotide ribosomal RNA is filed under the name uncultured eukaryote. Its description in RNAcentral is "SSU rRNA". It matches the Rfam family "Eukaryotic small subunit ribosomal RNA", at positions 594 to 945 of the family's 1831-position model. The record is from RNAcentral.